AUUGAACGUUGGCGGCAGGCUUAACACAUGCAAGUCGAGGGGUAACGAGAGGAAAGCUUGCUUUCCUUGUCGACGACCGGCGCACGGGUGAGUAACGCGUAUCCAACCUGCCCCCAACUAGGGAAUAACCUUGCGAAAGUAAGACUAAUACCCUAUAAUUUCCUCAGAUGUCAUCUGACGAGGAAUAAAGAUUUAUCGGUUGUGGAUGGGGAUGCGUCUGAUUAGCUUGUUGGCGGGGUAACGGCCCACCAAGGCAACGAUCAGUAGGGGUUCUGAGAGGAAGGUCCCCCACAUUGGAACUGAGACACGGCCCAAACUCCUACGGGAGGCAGCAGUGAGGAAUAUUGGUCAAUGGGCGGAAGCCUGAACCAGCCAAGUGGCGUGCAGGAUGACGGCCCUAUGGGUUGUAAACUGCUUUUAUACAGGAAUAAAGUUAGCCACGUGUGGUUAUUUGUAGGUACUGUAUGAAUAAGGACCGGCUAAUUCCGUGCCAGCCGCCGCGGUAA
This 506-nucleotide ribosomal RNA is filed under the name uncultured bacterium. RNAcentral describes it as "partial 16S ribosomal RNA". It matches the Rfam family "Bacterial small subunit ribosomal RNA", at positions 30 to 523 of the family's 1533-position model. The record is from RNAcentral.